CUACGGGAGGCAGCAGUGGGGAAUUUUCCGCAAUGGGCGAAAGCCUGACGGAGCAAUACCGCGUGAGGGAAGACGGCCUAUGGGUUGUAAACCUCUUUUUUCAGGGAGGAAUUUUGACGUGUACCUGAAGAAUAAGCAUCGGCUAACUCCGUGCCAGCAGCCGCGGUAAGACGGAGGAUGCAAGUGUUAUCCGGAAUCGCUGGGCGUAAAGCGUCUGUAGGUGGUUGAACAAGUCAACUGUUAAAUCUUGAGGCUCAACUUCAAAAUCGCAGUCGAAACUGUUUGACUAGAGUAUAGUAGGGGUAAAGGGAAUUUCCAGUGGAGCGGUGAAAUGCGUAGAUAUUGGAAAGAACACCGAUGGCGAAGGCACUUUACUGGGCUAUUACUGACACUCAGAGACGAAAGCUAGGGUAGCAAAUGGGAUUAGAUACCCCAGUAGUCCUAGCCGUAAACAAUGGAUACUAGAUGUUGAACAGAUCGACCUGUGCAGUAUCAAAGCUAACGCGUUAAGUAUCCCGCCUGGGAAGUAUGCUCGCAAGAGUGAAACUCAAAU
Molecule: ribosomal RNA, 553 nt
Filed under: uncultured bacterium
Lineage: Bacteria
Description: bacterial SSU rRNA
Rfam family: Bacterial small subunit ribosomal RNA
Source: RNAcentral